This 1442-nucleotide long non-coding RNA is filed under the name Olea europaea subsp. europaea. Lineage: Eukaryota; Viridiplantae; Streptophyta; Magnoliopsida; Lamiales; Oleaceae. The record is from RNAcentral.
AAACUUUGUCAUCAAACUUGGGUAUCCACAGUCAAGCUUUGUCAUCGAGCUCGAGUUACAAAAGUUCUAUUCGUGCUCAAACUUUAUCAUCGGGCUUGGGUUACAGAAAUUUUGUUUAUACUUAAACUCUGUAUCCAUAGCUCAAACUUUGUCAUUGAGCUUUGAUUACGAAAGUUAUGUUUGUACUCAAGCUUAUUAUAGGGCUUAUGAAAGUUCUAUUCGUGCUCAUUCUUUAUCAUCAAGCUUGGAGAUUCAAUGUUUGGUAUCAUCAUUGAUGUUGUUUGUUGGAAGCAAGCCAUGGUUAAUAUACUUUCAAGAUCUCUUCCAGCACCUGAACCUACAGUUGUUGCCCCAGGGACAUUUGAAGAGCUUCGCUAGCAAGUUGCUAUUUUGACUCAACUGUUGGGCCAAUAGAACCUGUCUCUAGUUUUGACAACCAAGGUCAAUGACAUAAUCGGAGCUCGACCUUGAUCUUCUCGUCUCGUUUUUUAAUAAUGGCAGUGCGGAGUCUUCGGGUGUACUUUAGAUUUUCCUUUGACGUCAACCCUAUGGUCAAUCACCUUGACCCCCAUGGAACUUACUAGAAUUAUCUAAGAUUGAAUAACUACUGGCCUACGUCAAAGAACCCAUGACUCAAUAGCUUUUAUGCUGAACAUUCCUUUCACUCCCAAGAUUCUAUCAUAUCCGGUGUUGGAUAGGUUCUAUCCUCGAAUAAAAGAGUAUAUUGGAACCACUAAUAUUAUCAAUCAAAUUAAUGUAUAAACCAAAAUCAUGUAUCUACAGGUCUCCCUAGAUCUAGUAAUGUGCAAGGCUUUUCUAUCCAUACAUUAUCAGAUUUAACAAACAAGUUCUUUGCCUCUUCGCUAGUAGCAAGCACAUCAAGAAGACAACGAUCACCCUCAUAUAGCUCCACUAGGGACAAAAGAAGCCUUAUUGAUUUCAUGGCACAAUUAAACACAGAAAGGCCUCAGUUCCCAACCUACAUAUCACAGCUACUAUCUUCGCUCUCGUACAUGCCAUAAAAUAUGAAUCAUUUAAAAUGUCUUUGUCAAAACCCUACUAAAGUUCGUAAUUGAUUCCCUCACGAAGGGUGAGAAUUAUAUCUAUAUGAAAGAGAACAUUAUCCAAAAAAAUGGGGCUUGACCACUAAGAAGCGAACACAAGAGGCAGCAUGAGCUCAACGUAUGAUAUGAUAGUGCUCAAGUAGAUAGUAGUCAAACCUUGUACCUUGAGCUCCAACUUCUAGAGGUAGAUCAAGGACCUCAAGGAACUCAAAUGGCCUCAAAGAACAAGAUCUCUCGAAGAUGUCAAAGAUCAAAGUAAGUUUUGUGAAUUCCAUUGAGAUCAUGGAUAGACACUUGUAAAACUUAUAGAGCGAAAAUAAGUCCUUGAUAAAAAUGGGUUUCCUCAGGGCUUAUGUCAAUUAAGAAAAAUGUUCGAGG